ACGACUAAGGGGAAUGGAAUGUCGACCACAGGGUGAGAGAAUCUUAUAAUACGAGGGCUAGUGACUGGUCAAGUCAUUAAACUUAGUCAUUUUGAUCAACAUGGCUGCAAGUGGACUGGGUUUAUGGGUUUAAACUGACUACGACCAAAGUCGUGGCUACUUCAACCAAAAAAAGGGCGACCCCCUAUUCAAACCAAAAGAAGUACCUCACCUCACUUACGAAACAAGUGGACUGGGUAUAUGGGUUUAAAAUGACUACGACCAAAGUCGUGGCUACUUCAACCAAAAAAAGGGCGAUCCCCUAUUCAAACCAAAAGAAGUACCUCACCUCACUUACGAAGAAGUUGUUGGAGCUGGGCUCCGAACUAUGAGAGUUUGCUUUUUAUCUUUCUCAGAGCGGUCUGAUCAAAUAGGGGAUCAGACCACUCCUGGUGUUUUAACUAGUCAUUAAUGGUCGGCUUAAUUAGUACCCUUUCGGUAUGUGUUGCGAACACUUUCAUUUUUAGCCUCUCAUCUUCUCUAGAGAAGCAAAACUCGAACGGAUAGAACAGAUGGUCCAACUACAUAACUUUUUCUUUUUCAUUACUUCCAUGGUCGUGCCUCGUGGCACGGCAGC
This 616-nucleotide long non-coding RNA is filed under the name Nicotiana benthamiana. RNAcentral describes it as "long non-coding RNA (NBEN_LNC008082)". The record is from RNAcentral. Lineage: Eukaryota; Viridiplantae; Streptophyta; Magnoliopsida; Solanales; Solanaceae.